Long non-coding RNA from Vespa velutina, 4031 nucleotides. RefSeq lists it as uncharacterized. NCBI's taxonomy places the organism in Eukaryota, Metazoa, Arthropoda, Insecta, Hymenoptera, Vespidae. The record is from RefSeq and is a predicted model, not a curated record. The transcript has 3 exons.
CAUUUCUCAGUGUGUUACUCGUGCAGCUCAUUCGUUUCACCGUCCCGAACGGCGUAACCGUCGCUCCUGACACCGUGAUAAACAGCCGCCUCUGUCGUAAGUCAAGUCGGUAUAAAAUCUCGGACAUUACUCGUUCUAGAGUUUACUAAGUCGGAACGACUUGACAAGGCGGAUAUAGUUAGCGUUAGAUCUUAAGCAGCACUGUCUGUCUCUUUCCCUUCGCCGUUUUUCAAAUUCCGCGUCGGUGGUAUUCGACUUUCGUACGAGUAAUCGUGCUGAUUUUGCUUUUACAAAGGCAUUUAAAGAGUCAAGCUACAUCUCGUAAACCAUCCAAUUCUAAUGAAGUAGACGAUAAUGUAAAUGACUCGGAACGAAACUACCCAGGGAGUCUUUCUUUCUCGUUCGCUUCUCUCGACUUCACCGAGAAAAUUAAAAUCCGUAUUUCUAUCGAACGCGAAGAGACUUAAGAAUUGAUUAAAUUACACUUGGUAAUACGGCUGCUACCGUGAUUCGAAAUUUGUCCGUUUGCCGACACGUAAUCCGUUUCGAGAGAUCGAUAAGAGAGUGAGUUACACGAGUCGCUUGUAAAUGAGUAGAGAUAUCGAUCAGGAUCUUAGAUAGUAGCGUUCGCUCAUAGCGAAAACUCAUCCGAAGACGGGAGGAAGAGUGAAAAAGUACUGAGAAGAGGAAAUACGAAUUUCUGUCGGUACAAGAGAAGGAAAUAUAUGUCUAAAGACGGCGGUAGAGAAACGCGUUCGUUUCGCAAGAAAUAUUCCUCCGAUCUGGAGAAGUAGCAGGGCUACUCUUUGUGCACGACGCUGUGGCAGCCAUAAAAUCCUUAAAAUGCAUAGCUACAAUGAAAUUGUGGGCACGAAUGUAACCCUCGGCUAAGGUUAAUCUGGCGAGAGCAUCGCGACGCCUGGCUAAUGGCACGUCCGACGGUUGCGUGCCAGCAUUUUCAGCCAAGCAGUCGUCGAGCAUCCGUCCUGCUCGGGAGGGAGCUCAGCCGACUGAGUGAUGAAGUGAGUGUGGAGUGAGGCCUAUUUUUGUGCUUACCGACAAACAGCCUCGUAGAUCUCAUGACACGUCGUUAGAAGCCCACGAAAAUACACUCGAUGUUACUCCAAAGUGCUACGAGAUAUCCACAGAGAGUUUACCUCCUUAGUUUAUUCCAAGAAACAACAAAAACGUUCCUUUCUUUCAUCCGAUUUUUUCCGCAUACACAUUAACCUAUCGUAUUUACCUACGCUCUAUAGUAUUUACCUCCUUGGUUUAUUCCAAGAAACAACAAAAACGUUCCUUUCUUUCUCCCGGUUAUGUUCGUACACACAUUAACCCAUCGUAUUUACCUACACUCUUCGAUCGUUGUAAUCAUUCGAUUAAACGUCCGACAAUCUACAAACGAAAUAUAUUGUUCUUAACUUUGUUAUGUAUCGAAUAAAUCGUUCAGAAACUCUCUGGAAUGAUCUUAAUCGUAUCUCGUUAAUCUUAAGUUCCACAUAGAUUAAAUGUCUCUAUUUGGAUCAACGACAGCUUUUCUCUCGAUUAUCAAACUCACAUAAAUGUCUUGAAUUUGCACGAUAUUCAAUUACGUCGAACGCUCAUGCGAAGCGAAGCAAGGCUCCGAAAUUAGCUGGCAUCUCGACCGAUACGGAUACGGACCAAGCAUGAAACCGUGUCUAACGAGCGCUCGCUCACCCGUUCAAGGGGUUUUGUACGAAACUAGCCUGCAGACGUCGGUGGCAAAUGAUCACUACGGUCGUAGAAGUCUAGCGGAACUAGGAUUAUCCAGAUAUCUGUGGAAAUAUCUGACGCUUAGGAACGUGACAUUUUAACAUUCAAGAAGAUCUCAAACACUUAAUCGACGUCGUAUCACGAAAGAAAAAGUUAAAAAGGAAAGAUUUCGAAAAUGACUACGGACAGGCGUUCUCUCUAUAUCAGCUUUUACACUGACUCCCUUCGUGACAGUUACCACCGUGCCAUUCGAAGAUGCUCAUUCUACAAAGUUAUUGCCAACAGCUGUACAACUUUUUUCGAUCGUUUCGUUCGCGCUCCGAAAAUUAUCGUCUACCAGGCGAACGCUUUACGAUGAAGACGCAAGCAUAACCUUCUCUUCCGAUCGAGCGUUCUUUAUACGUCCAUAAAGGGAAAUUAAUGUUCUGGAUGGUAAUGGUAAAUGGAGUGGAAAGAAGACAAGAAAUCGUAAGAUAAACGACAUCGGGAUGUGCCGAAGGCUGGCAUCUUUUAUCGAUGAGAAACGAAAGAAGAAGAUGCAAGUGAGAGAUCAAAAUUUUAAGUUAAAUUUUGAUCUUGUGGAAAGGUCACUAUAAAGGAAACUUCACAAAUAGUUGUUUAUUUGAUCAUUUAUCUUAUAAAAAAGGAAAAAUUUAUAUAUUACCGAUGCAUUACAUGUAUAUAAAUGACUUCUUAAAUGAGAUAACGAUUUAACUAGGAUACAUUUAACUUUUCGAUUUUUUAAGCAAACACGAAAGAAGCAACUCCGUAAAUGAGAAUGAAAUUUGAAUCGAUCACAAAGGGAGCUCUCUACGGUGAAAGGAAAUGCACGAGGAAGCGAUCGCGGAUGAUGAACGAUCGGGUCGAGAGAAAAUAAAGUGGUAGAUCGUAGAAAGGAGGAACGUCGAUGGGAAGCAUUCCCAUCUAUCAAGCCCUUCCCCGAUAAUCAUCGGUUGCCGACCGAACUCGAGUAGAAACAAAAUCUCGUGAAACGACUAAAAAAUGAGAUCAACGCGGUAUUCUCGCUUCAACUCUCGCCAUUCCUUCGCUCCCCGUACUUCCUUUUCUCAAUAUCUUCUCUCUCUCUCUCUCUUUCUCUCAUUUACUCUUUUUAAAUCUCUUGUAACGAUUAGCAAAUUGAGAAUAUUGAAGAUGAGAUGAUAUAGUAGAUAGGAGAUAAUAACGUUGCAGGUAACACCCCGGUUGAAACGUAUUUAACGCUCUAUAUUUAUCGAGAAGGUGUAGCUUCGUUAGUUCUUUUAGCAUCCGAACAUUUAUCAUCAAUUUUGGCUUACUCAAGUACCUAUUAUUACCAUAUUGAAAGAAAGAAGAAAAAAAAACGCACGAACUAUACAAACUAUUUAUUAUUAAAAUGAUUCGCUUGUUCUGCUGAUACAAUAUAAAUUUUCGAACAUUUUUAUCUAUAUUAAUAAAAUAACUGGAUAUUCAAUAAUCGACAUCUGUUAGGUAUGUACGUAAUAUCUCAUAAGAGUUUAGAACAAAAGUUACGAUGACAAUAACAGUAAACGUUUCACCAUGAUAAAGAGAGUUAUCAUAUCUUUGAUCAUCAGACGAACUGGACACGGCAAAAUGUAGUAGUUUAUUCGCGUUGAUCUUGAUAACAACCACAACGUAGGAACGCAUGCAUGUUGGAAAAAGGAAGUUAAAUAUAUACUCUUCCUCACUAAUUCUCCACUACUAUUCUGCAUUGAUACGAUGUUUCUUUGAUACAAGUUAAUAUCAAUUAAAUACAGAAAAUGAUUAAUAUAGCUAAAAUAAUUGUUAUAUUUUUAAAAGUUAUCAAUGUAUGAUAGAGAUUUGGUCGAUUUGGUGAAUAUCAUAGGAUGAAACACUUUAAAUUGAUAUAUAAAAUUUUAACUUUUAGAAAUUAAGCGUUUCGAAAAUAUAGGUCUCUAUAUAAAAUAAAUCUUUACAGCUAUUAACUUUAAAUAAUAUAAUAAAUCUUUACAGCUAUUUAUAUAACAUUGUUCGAAAAUUAGUAUAACAAUGUGAGUAUGAAUGAGAUAUAUAUAUGGCUGAUGAAUAUGUACGUAUAUAUUAUGCUUGAAAAUACUCAAUGAGUGAAAAAAACGAUCAGCUUCUUUAAAAAAAAAAAGGAGUAUCGGUUUGAUUUGAGUUACAUUUUAUUAAUACCUCAAACAAGAAACUCUUUUUAAAGAAAGACAAAAAAAAGCAAAAUUUCUUAUCUUUGAGUAACUUUACACAUAUAUAUUUCUUCUUGAAUUACUACACGUUAAAUAUAAAAUCUGGAAAAUAAACGUAACAUUGAUAGUUCA